UACGGAGGGUGCGAGCGUUGUCCGGAAUCACUGGGCGUAAAGGGUGCGUAGGCGGUCGGGUAAGUCUGACGUGAAAUCUCCAAGCUCAACUUGGAAAUGGCGUCGGAUACUAUUCGGCUCGAGGAGUGGAGGGGAGACUGGAAUUCUCGGUGUAGCAGUGAAAUGCGUAGAUAUCGAGAGGAACACCAGUGGCGAAGGCGAGUCUCUGGACACUUCCUGACGCUGAGGCACGAAAGCCAGGGGAGCAAACGGG
This 253-nucleotide ribosomal RNA is filed under the name uncultured bacterium. RNAcentral describes it as "partial 16S ribosomal RNA". It matches the Rfam family "Bacterial small subunit ribosomal RNA", at positions 524 to 776 of the family's 1533-position model. The record is from RNAcentral.